AACACGGACCAAGGAGUCUAGCAUGUGCGCGAGUCAUUGGGAAAUAACUAAACCUAAAGGCGCAAUGAAAGUAACGUGGAAACUUCCCCAGGUUGGAUCCACGAGGGAAGAUGGGCGGUUCGCCGAAAAGUGGCCGCCCCGCAUUCCCGGGGCGUCUCAUUCUCAUUACGAGUAGAGGCGCACCAAGAGCGUACACGCUGGGACCCGAAAGAUGGUGAACUAUGCCUGGUCAGGACGAAGUCAGGGGAAACCCUGAUGGAGGUCCGUAGCGAUUCUGACGUGCAAAUCGAUCGUCGGAACUGGGUAUAGGGGCGAAAGACUAAUCGAACCAUCUAGUAGCUGGUUCCCUCCGAAGUUUCCCUCAGGAUAGCUGGCGCUCGUUGCGCACGAGUCUCAUCCGGUAAAGCGAAUGAUUAGAGGCAUUGGGGUCGAAACGGCCUCAACCUAUUCUCAAACUUUAAAUGGGUGAGAUCUCCGGCUUGCUCGAACUUUUGAAGCCGCGAGACACGGAUCAGAGUGCCAAGUGGGCCAUUUUUGGUAAGCAGAACUGGCGCUGUGGGAUGAACCAAACGCCGAGUUAAAGCGCCUAAAUCGACGCUUAUGGGAUACCAUGAAAGGCGUUGGUAACUUAAGACAGCAGGACGGUGGCCAUGGAAGUCGGAAUCCG
Molecule: ribosomal RNA, 667 nt
Filed under: Prionocerus bicolor
Lineage: Eukaryota; Metazoa; Arthropoda; Insecta; Coleoptera; Prionoceridae
Description: partial 28S large subunit ribosomal RNA
Rfam family: Eukaryotic large subunit ribosomal RNA
Source: RNAcentral